This 252-nucleotide ribosomal RNA is filed under the name uncultured bacterium. RNAcentral describes it as "partial 16S ribosomal RNA". It matches the Rfam family "Bacterial small subunit ribosomal RNA", at positions 524 to 776 of the family's 1533-position model. The record is from RNAcentral.
UACGUAGGGGGCAAGCGUUGUCCGGAAUUAUUGGGCGUAAAGCGCGCGCAGGCGGCUGUUUAAGUCUGGUGUUUAAACCAUGGGCUCAACCUGUGGUCGCACUGGAAACUGGGCAGCUUGAGUGCAGAAGAGGAAAGUGGAAUUCCACGUGUAGCGGUGAAAUGCGUAGAGAUGUGGAGGAACACCAGUGGCGAAGGCGACUUUCUGGGCUGUAACUGACGCUGAGGCGCGAAAGCUAGGGGAGCAAACGGG